This 81-nucleotide transfer RNA is filed under the name Paragonimus skrjabini miyazakii. Its description in RNAcentral is "Paragonimus miyazakii tRNA". It matches the Rfam family "tRNA". From Rfam's summary of the family: Transfer RNA (tRNA) molecules are approximately 80 nucleotides in length. Their secondary structure includes four short double-helical elements and three loops (D, anti-codon, and T loops). Further hydrogen bonds mediate the characteristic L-shaped molecular structure. tRNAs have two regions of fundamental functional importance: the anti-codon, which is responsible for specific mRNA codon recognition, and the 3' end, to which the tRNAs corresponding amino acid is attached (by aminoacyl-tRNA synthetases). tRNAs cope with the degeneracy of the genetic code in two manners: having more than one tRNA (with a specific anti-codon) for a particular amino acid; and 'wobble' base-pairing, i.e. permitting non-standard base-pairing at the 3rd anti-codon position. The record is from Rfam by way of RNAcentral. Lineage: Eukaryota; Metazoa; Platyhelminthes; Trematoda; Plagiorchiida; Troglotrematidae.
GGCUUCGUAGCUCACCCGGUAGAGCGCUCGCCGCUUUGGAGCAUGGUGUUUCUGUCGCUGGUUCGAAUCCAGCCGAAGCCC